RNAcentral lists this ribosomal RNA (492 nucleotides) under uncultured bacterium. RNAcentral's name for it is "partial 16S ribosomal RNA". It matches the Rfam family "Bacterial small subunit ribosomal RNA", at positions 30 to 507 of the family's 1533-position model. The record is from RNAcentral.
AUUGAACGCUGGCGGCAUGCUUUACACAUGCAAGUCGAACGGUAACAGGCCUUCGGGUGCUGACUACUGGCGAACGGGGGAGUAAUGCAUCGGAACGUACCCAGAGGUGGGGGAUAACGCAGCGAAAGCUGUGCUAAUACCGCAUGUGAUCUCAGGAUGAAAACGGGGGACAGAGCAGCAAUUUUUGGCCUCGCGCGUUUGUAGCGGCCGAUGUCGGAUUAGCUAGUUGGUGGGGUAAAGGCCUACCAAGGCGACGAUCCGUAGCUGGUCUGAGGGGACGAUCAGCCACACUGGAACUGAGACACGGUCCAGACUCCUACGGGAGGCAGCAGUGGGGAAUAUUGGACAAUGGGCGCAAGCCUGAUCCAGCCAUGCCGCGUGUGUGAAGAAGGUCUUCGGGUUGUAAAGCCCUUUUGUUUGGAAGGAAAAGCAGUAAGUUAAUACCUUGCUGUUCUGACGGUACCAACAGAAUAAGCACCGGCUAACUUCGUG